AUACGUAGGUGGCAAGCGUUACUCGGAAUCACUAGGCGUAAAGCGCGGGUAGGCGGUUUGGUAAGUCCGUUGUGAAAGCUCCCGGCUCAACCGGGAGAGGCCAACGGAAACUGCCAGGCUAGAGUGUGGUAGAGGAAGCUAGAAUUCCCGGUGUAGCGGUGAAAUGCGUAGAUAUCGGGAGGAAUACCUAUGGCGAAAGCAGGCUUCUGGGCCAUCACUGACGCUGAUCCGCGAAAGCUAGGGGAGCAAACAGGAUUAGAUACCCCAGUAGUCC
This 274-nucleotide ribosomal RNA is filed under the name uncultured bacterium. RNAcentral's name for it is "partial 16S ribosomal RNA". It matches the Rfam family "Bacterial small subunit ribosomal RNA", at positions 523 to 796 of the family's 1533-position model. The record is from RNAcentral.